GGGUCUAAUCGGAGCUGUUGCUGCCGGCCUACGCCACAGCCACAGCAAUGCAAGAUCCGAGCUGCGUCUGCAGCCUACACCAGAGCUCACAGCAACACCGGAUCCUUAACCCACUGAGCAAGGCCAGGGAUCAAACCCACAACCCCACAGUUCCUAGUCGGAUUCGUUUCUGCUGCACAACCACAGGAACGCCUAAUGUUUUUGUUGAUAUAGUCGAGUUUACAUCUGCCGUUUUACUUUUUCUAUAUAUCUCAUGUCAUCUGAGUUCCUCUAACCCUCCUUUGCCGUGUUCUUUGCCAUUAUAAUGAAUCAGGCAUAUACGACAACGCAACAACUUCAAAGAGCUACUUCUUUUUAAUUCGGAUAGCAAAAUGACCUCUCCAACAAUUUUUAGUUUCUUCAACUGCUUAUUUUCUAAUGAUUUUUUUUUCUGGUUCCAGAAAACAGGAACAAAUCUAAUAUUCACCCACUAGGUAUGGGACACCAUCUACAAAAAUGUCAAUUACCAGCUUCCUGGGGGUUGGAGGAGUUGAGGCUACGACUUGACCUUCCCACAAAGAGGAGGGACGGGGCCCUUCACCAUGUUUUGAGGAUCCCCUUCAUGACAUGUUCAGUGUCCUGACAGUUCAGUGCUUCCAGCCAAGGUGGGAAGGAUGGUUGGAAUUCACAGGAGUCCACAGUGUGGAUAGUUUCAGACGCCCUGGCACUGCUCUCACAGACACUUGACACAGAUGCUAACAAAGAUCUAGUGAGCAGAGGCCCUUUCUACACCUGCUGCAAGAAACAGAUAAGACAGCACAAACUGAUUAGCCCACAUCCCUGCCUGAGAGUGAUUUUAACACCCACCACCACCACUACCAUCUACGGAUCACCUGACCUCAUAGUUCACCUACAAAGCCCUCUAUUCAUCAGCACACAUGAAGGGAAGCUACAAUCCAGGGGGGUCGUGAGUUGUGAAAUCCCAAAUUCACAGCUUAUGUUGUGAACGCCUGAGGUUUGGGACACCCAGCACCCCCUCUCCCAUCUCCUGGCUGGAGCACUUCCAAGUUCUGAUGUCCUGUCCAGCAAAAGGCCAUGUUUGUCUAUUUGGACUGAAGUGUCUUCCAUUCAUUUUUAGCUGCCCCUCCAGAAAACUCAAGAGAUCUACAAUAUCCCCAUAAACUGGGCUCAUCCUGGGUGCCUGGCAUUCUUCCAGGGAGAGGGAGAUCAUGUCCGUAAAAUGCCCAAAUGGCAAAUUCCCAGGAGUUUAAGCAGGUUGGGCAUAAUUUGGGGACAUGCAGGCCCUUUUUCAAAAUAAGAUGUCUGGUUGGCACAAAAAAAAAAAAAAAAAAAAAAAAACAAAAAAAACACCUCAUCCAGCCCCGAUCCUGGAAGGAUCCAAGACCCAAUUAUUGCCAGGCUUAAUGAGCUCACUCGCCCAGCUGCCCUGACCCAAGAAAACAGCCCUGCCAACUUCCAAAAAGGAGGCGUGUCUUCCAAAGCAUAUUCUGAGAUGCAGCUCGAGAGAAUGGAAGAAAUCAGGUCAAUUUAACGAGGAAUAGGACCUGCGAACACAAGAACAUGGCUUGGAUUCUGAAGAACAGCUUUCUAACAUUUUCUUCACCCUAAACCAAAAGCAGGCUGCCAUCCAGGCAGUGAAAUCCCCGUGUGCAGAAGGGAAGCUGGAUUAAGUUCCACAGAAGCUUCACAAAUAUCAUCUCGGGGCUGACAGAACCACCUGGGAUGUUUUGAUCCCAAGUAUGGAGGUGCCCAAGGUCUGGAGAGUUGAUGUCACUAUAGGCGCCUGCUGCGGAGAAUAGAGGGGGGGGCUUCUUCAGGGCAGAACAGACCAGAUGCAAACAACAGCAAACAAUCUUCGGCACCAGACUCCCGCCACUGACAUUCUAGGAUUCUGAUAUUACAGGAAUAUGAAACAUACUCAUUUUUUAUUUCUUGGCUCAGAAGUGAAGCCAAUUCACCCAUAAUGCUAUAAACACCAAAUCUCAAGGCUAAAGGUCAAAUGCUAUCGACCACCUACUAUGCACCCCAUCCUGUGCAGGGCUCUGGGAAUGCCACUGUGAACCAGGAAGCAUCCUUAAUCUCCUGGGACCUUCUGGCUAGCAAGAGAGUCAGACAAGUCACUGGCAGCUGGAAUACAGAAGCCAGGGCAGUGACAGAGGGAUGCUCAGGGCAUCGGACGCCCUUGGGACAUUGCUGACCCAGCCUGCAGAUGCGGAAGCGUUGUCAGGGAAGGUUUCUGGAGGAAGCAAGGCUGAGGAUGGAUGUGAAGCACAGGUGGAGGGUGUUCACCAGGUGGAUGGGGGCAGGGACGGCGAAUGGGCAGAUCCGCCAGAGGGAACAGCAUAUGCGAAGCCUGGCUCAGUCCAGCUAGACGUCUACUGAAGGCAUGGGAGAAGGGCAAGGCAGGAGCAGAGCACACACGCCACACUGGCAAAAUCAGGAGAGCAGAGCAAGCCUCUUCACUCUCUCCGUCUGCCUCCAGGCUGCUCCUGUCUUAAUCCAGCCCCAGUGACUUCAUUCACUGUACCUACACUUGCAGAGCAAGCAAACAGGUCUCUCCUUGAGCCCCAGCAUCCCCGCUGGGCUGGGGGGCCUGCAGGGUAUCACAGGACAGGGUGUGGGGAGGAUGGGGAAGGAGGAUGCAAGCAGACGGAGCUGGCAAGCAAGGGUCUGGAAGGAGAGACAGCGCUUAGCAAGGGGUACAAUUCAUGGGAAGGUAUGAGAAUUGAAUGGGAAGCAGGCCAUGGGGGCCUCGAACCCAGGCUAAAGUGGUUGCACUCUUUUCAUAAGCAAUCAGCAGACUGAGGUAGCCAGAAGAGGUCUGACCCCACCACUGCCGUUUCUACCUGGGCAACCCCAGGUAAGCCACUCAUUCUCCUGCAAUGAGGCAGUGCCCCGCAGUGAGGGCUGGAAAAGAAAACUCGCUGCUGCCCGCAAUAACCCACUUCCAGGAGUUCCCACUGGGACUCAGUGGGUUAAGGACCCAAUGUUGUCUCUACGAGGAUUGCGGGUCCACUCCCCGGCCUCACUCAGUGGGUUAAGGAUCUAGCGUUGGCGCAAGCUGCAGUGUAGGCUGCAGGUGCGGCUCACAACCGGUGUGGCUGUGCCUGUGGCACAGGCUGCAGCUGCAGCUAAGCCUACCCCAGCCGGCAGCACAAGGCCAGGCACCUGCAGGCAGGUGGGUGUGUGGAAGAUGAGAGGGACGAUGCUAGCUAACGGUUGGGAAACUCUGACAAAAUCCCUCUUCGGGACGGGGACAGGGGUGUGCCCCCCCCUCCAAAUGCCAGAGCUCCCAGGGUGAAGUGAUUUGUUUCCCUCGUGGCUCCUGGCUGGAUCUGGGAGCUCCAUGGAGACUCCUCCCAGGUCUGCGGAAAGCGGAGAGCCUCUCAAGCAGAGAAGGUGCGCAAACAGGGAGGUGCCUCGCCCGGCCUUGAGAAUCGGAGGCCCUCGUCCAAUCAAAGCUGGCCGUACAGUAGCCCCGCCCACUAUGCAAAGAUUCUCCCAGAGAUCUCCGCAUGCGGGGGCCGACUGAAAGGAACGUGCAAACUCUUUGGAGGACGGAAAAAUUCGGGUGCGGUCAUUAUAGGCAGAGGGAUUAAAAGGGUCAGAGCCACUGAACGGAGGCGACUCUCAGCAGAGUGGCCAAUGCUCUUCGGUCAUCCUAUAGCCGUCAUCUUGGGUGCCAAUUAGCAAGAGGCUACCACGCACCAGCCCUUAGGUGUCUGCCGAGACAGCUCCCGUUAGAGCCCAGGCUCUCAUCGCCCUAUGCCUGUGGUCCUGUCCCCUUACUUUAAUUAUAUCCUGCAGGGAAAAGUUACUGUCGUGAUGACCUGGCUUGUGUUUUACUUAUGGGUCUCCCUGGUCUCAGAAUCAGAGCUGCCAUGGGCAGGGACCUUGCCUGGGUCUUCGUGGGGCUCUGGUCUCUUCCAGGGGCCACAGGAGGCCCUCAAAUGUGCACUGUCGUUGUUCAUCAUCAGACGGAGCGUCCAGUUUACAGAGGAGGAAACUGAAGCACAGAAAAACUGUAACUUUUCAGUUCAGUAUGCUCAGUAUGGAGGAAGUUGAGUGUGCCUAGCUCUUAGAGGCAGGCGAAGGUCAGAAAUAACCACACACAGCUCAGGGUGCUGCUGCCACUGUGGCCACGACACUUCACAGAAGGCAGAGCCACCAUCCUCUGGGCCUGGUCCCUGCCCCUGAGGCGCUUAGAGUUUGGCAGCACUGUCCCCCCAAAAUACAAUGUGAACCCCACGUGCAAUUUUAAAUUCUCUACUAGCCACAUUAAAAAAAGAACAAGUAAAAACAAAGAAAAAAAUGGAAAAAAUAAAAAACAAAAAUAAAGAAAAAAAGGUGAAAUUAAUUUUAAUAAUUCAUUGCAUUUAACAAUAUACCCAAAAGUUUUGUUUCAACACAUCAUCCAUGUUAAAGUUAUUACUGAGAUCUUUUUCACCCUUUGUCCUACAAAGUCUUCAAAAUCCAGUGCAAAUUUUUCACUCUCCAGCCCGUGUCAGUUCACAGGAGCCACAUCUCAAUGCUCGAGCCCUGAGGGGCCACCGGAGUGGACAGGUCGGCUCCAGGAGUCCUCUGGCUACCUUGGGACAAGUGAGCAGAUGAGCCAGGAGACUCAUUCGCAAUCACUAUAGUCACGACCUCUGCAAUCACCACCAGCGCCCAAAUACCUACUGUGCCCUGCCGUGCUCUGGGCUGUCUACACAGUAAUUUUUUUUUUUUUUUUUUGUCUUUUUUGCCAUUUCUUGGGCCGCUCUCACGGCAUAUGGAGGUUCCCGGCCUAGGGGUCCAAUCGGAGCUGUAGCUACUGGCCUACGCCAGAGCCACAGCAAAGUGGGAUCUGAGCCGCGUCUGCAACCUACACCACAGCUCACAGCAACACCGGAUCCUUAACCCACUGAGCAAGGCCAGGGAUCAAGCCCGCAACCUCAUGGUUUCUAGUCAGAUUCGUUAACCACUGAGCCACGAUGGGAACUCC
Molecule: long non-coding RNA, 4984 nt
Filed under: Sus scrofa (pig)
Lineage: Eukaryota; Metazoa; Chordata; Mammalia; Artiodactyla; Suidae
Description: lncRNA (ENSSSCG00060043722.1)
Source: RNAcentral